AAACGGUUGUUAGAGCCCCUUCUGUUGUCGACGACGUAGUAGUAGAGCGUUUGUGAUGUCCAUGAUAUCCUUGGUUUGGGCCAUGGUGAUGGCCAUUCUCGCCUUUGGCCGAUUCGUGUUUGUGACGCAUAGCGGCAAACCAUUUUUAGCCUAUGUUCUCCAACAUCUGUAAUUGAAUUUU
Molecule: long non-coding RNA, 181 nt
Organism: Daphnia pulicaria
Lineage: Eukaryota; Metazoa; Arthropoda; Branchiopoda; Diplostraca; Daphniidae
Exons: 3
Source: RefSeq, a predicted model, not a curated record